GAAAGAGAACCGGSGCACAGGUGCUGCAUGGCUGUCGUCAGCUCGUGUCGUGAGAUGUUGGGUUAAGUCCCGCAACGAGCGCAACCCUUGUCCUUAGUUGCUACGCAAGAGCACUCUAAGGAGACUGCCGGUGACAAACCGGAGGAAGGUGGGGAUGACGUCAAGUCCUCAUGGCCCUUAUGGGUAGGGCUUCACACGUCAUACAAUGGUCGGAACAGAGGGUCGCCAACCCGCGAGGGGGAGCUAAUCCCAGAAAACCGAUCGUAGUCCGGAUCGCACUCUGCAACUCGAGUGCGUGAAGCUGGAAUCGCUAGUAAUCGCGGAU
This 325-nucleotide ribosomal RNA is filed under the name Burkholderia sp. VA56. Its description in RNAcentral is "bacterial SSU rRNA". It matches the Rfam family "Bacterial small subunit ribosomal RNA", at positions 1018 to 1349 of the family's 1533-position model. Lineage: Bacteria; Pseudomonadati; Pseudomonadota; Betaproteobacteria; Burkholderiales; Burkholderiaceae. The record is from RNAcentral.